RNAcentral lists this long non-coding RNA (4576 nucleotides) under Nicotiana benthamiana. RNAcentral describes it as "long non-coding RNA (NBEN_LNC032978)". Lineage: Eukaryota; Viridiplantae; Streptophyta; Magnoliopsida; Solanales; Solanaceae. The record is from RNAcentral.
UUAUGAGAAAUAAAUGAUAAAAUAACUUAACUUUUAUACAACAAUCCACUGAUAGUAUAAAUCAUAAGCCACUAAGACUUAGACGUACAAAACUGAAAUAAAAUAAUUAUAACAUCUAUUUGGAAUAUACAUGAACAAAAUUCGAAUUUGAAGCUGCCAAGGACAAAUGAUAGCAUCAAUGCCAGUUUCCGCCAUACGCAACAGCAUCAACUUCAAGAUCUGCAUCCAAGGUGCAGAAGUGUAGUAUUAGUAUAAUCUACACCAUCAAUAAAUAUCCUAUCUAACUUCAACGAGGUAAUAGCAGCAAGAAUUAUAAAUGAUACUCACCAGUCAACUGUACAAGUUUUUAAAUCUAACAGGUAUAGAAUAGAUAUAUGAUCAAAUCAAGAAAACACAGGAAAAACCAUCUUGGUGCUCACAAUUUUUUUAUUUUAAAGGUUCUACUAAGUCAACAGUCCAGCAUAUAAGGAAGGUAUGCAAAGAAAUCAUGCAAACAAUCAAGAAAACUUCAAGCAAAGAUGAAAUAUAAUAACCAAAUAUCAGUACGUUGCGACGCACAACCCGAUCCAAAAAACAAUAAUCAGUCUCCCAGAGCUCACAUCAACCAGAAACCUAUCUACAAUCGGCAUGUUAAACCAUCAAGAGAGAAAUAUGAGAGGGUGCCCCUAGGGGGAUGAAUCCGUAUUCACACAUGAGCAUGGCCAACUCAACGUACUAUAUCUCGGCGUGGUCACAUGCUCAAUAUCAUAAUAUACUUGGCAUAGUCACGGGCCCAAUAUUAACCGAACGGACAACUCACGUGUUGCACGGAUGUCACAAUCCAAAAACCCACGGCAUGUGUUGUGAUGGCACCUAAUCUCUAUGACUAGGUAAGACGAUUAUUAACAAUGAUUAAGCUAAUUUUAACAAUGAUUAUUUUAAUAUAGUUUAGAAUAAAUACCGAAACAAAACAAGAAUAAACCUACGCGACAAUGAUCAUAAUAACCUCCCAAGAUUUGGUAAUACAAAGUCAUGAACUUUAGUUGAAUACAUGGAAUGAUCUGAAGGAUCAAAAUAAAAUACUAUUCAAAUAAUAACUGACUUUGCAAUAUAAGGAAAGGACUCCAAGGGAUUGCGAUGACCAAGCAGCUCUACCUUGAAUCCUCGCGAUCAACGAGCUGACUCCACCCGAGUUUGAUAUCUCCAAUACCUGGCUAUGCUAAAGAAAUUUACAGAAGUGUACUAUGAUUACACCACAGUCGAUACCCAACAAGUGUCACACCUCAUUUUUACACUACAUCCUGCGAAGGGCGUAGAAGGGAGUUUUUUCCAAUUAAAGGACAAUCGAAACGAGAUUUAUUUAUUAAGAAAUUCAGAGUCCCCACUGAAGAAAAUAAAUAGUGUCCCAAGUCACCGGUUUAAAUCCCGAGUCGAGGAAAAGGUUGACACUGUAAUACAGUCUGCAAUUCAGAAAUCCUGGUAAGGAAUUCUGUUAACUCGGAAGAAGGUGUUAGGCACUCCCGAGUUACAUGGUUCUAGCACGGUCGCUUUGAUCAUACUUGGCUUGACUAAAUUUUCUAAUUACUCAUAUUAGAACCUAUGUGCUUUUGUCUCUUUUAAUUAAAAUUAUCUUGAAACGGCUCACGCGUAUGUGUACCCAUUUAUUUGGCGCGUCAAAAAUCAUGUCAUGCGAAUAUGUCCACAAUUAAUAAUGCUUUAUUAUUAUUACGAAACAUUUGACCAAUAUUGCGUGAACGCAUACUCCAAUAUUGUUUUUUCUAAAUCAUAAUCAUGUCACGCGAACGUGUCUACAAUCACAAUGAUAUACUAAACGGGCCUAGAGCAUCUAUGAGUAUUUGUCAUUUUUAUAUCUAAGUCACGAAGUUAAUACGAGGGCCCUGAAUGAUUAAAUUAUGGAUGACACACCUCAAACUAUAUAUAAUAAGAUUAGUUAAAGGGGAUUAACUUAAAGAAAAACUCGGAUGGCCAUGGAAUAUGCCUCAUCUAAUAUAGCUCACCUCCCAAUUAUUUGAAGGAACACAGCUAUCUAAUCAUCACGAUCCAAGACUAAAUUGUGGUGUAAACUAGCAGAAUUCAUCUUUGAGGGAAAGAAUUAAUGCUUUCAAAGUUAAAAUGGGCCCUCGACUAGGGAGCACUUAUUCCUUUUAAGCUACUUGUUUCGAGCUUAUGGCCCAAACCAGCCCUGAAACAUGAAUAUUAUUUAAGAGCUAAUGAGCUUUGGUCAAUUCCCAUCCCCAUAGUUCAGCACUUCUCACAAUCAUGAUUAUAUUAAGCAAGUCAGAUGUUAAAACCAACGAAACAUGGCAAAUAGACUAAGUAGAAGGAUAACCACACAUCCACAGUACACGAGAUUGGAAAACCACAGAAACGGCUAUUAUGGAAGGCAGUACCAAAGCAAUGGGCUAACCCAAAGAUGAUCUUUGUAAGUGAAUCAAACUGGUAGCCGGCAUUCAUUUUAAAUCAAAAUCUUGAUGUCAAAGUUGAUAGUGUUCAAAUAACCUGGACAAGCUGAAUCAUUUCAACAUGAUCAAUGCUAAAUUGAACUUGCCUUAUAAUGGAAAUUUAUGGCAGACUAACUUCCAGUUUUCAAUGAAUGCCAAAGAGACACAUCAGAGGACGUCCAAAGUGCAGUCAAGUGCAAAUAUUAAAGCAGAACAUGCCCAGGGCAAAUGAUAUUAUCUAAGGUCAAGCGUACAUGCCCAGCUACUCCUACUUAUGACUAUCUACUAAAACAACAGGCCAAUAAAACAACAGCUAAUACACUCACAUGAUAUUCAAGUUUUUUUUUUAAAAAAAAACUUAUACUAACAUUUCAAAAAUAGUAGCAGGCCUUCGAAACACUUGAAAGAUCCAAGCUAUCAUAGGAUUAAUCUUUCAUAGUCUCCAGGCUUCAUGAGUGAUAAAAUCAAUUACAACAUCAUAUAUAAAAUUACCAGAGAGCAUUAUUAGACCACACAUCUACAAAGCAGGAGUCAUAUGACUUCACUAAUCAGAACAAACUAUCACCACCUCUACUCAAAAAAGUACACAUGUUGUGCUCAUUGAAUGCAUAAGGAAUUAAAAAACUUAGUAUUCGAACUACAACUAAGGAUUACAUGAGGAAAUAACUCAAACAAAUAGCUCAAAACAUGGCAGUAUACAAGACUAAACAUCAGAAACUCCAAAACUUCCAUUCAUUCAUUUCAUUUUCCAUUCGCGCAUCAGAUUACAUAGUUCUGGGAGACGAGUACCUAGAUGUAGAAGAAACAAAGAAAAAUGAUAAAGGAUCAACGACUACUGAGCAACAAUUAGCAGUUUUCAACCAGUUUUGAACCCAGAAAGUUAAGUAAAUAGCCUAAAAACAGUUUCAAUCCAGGCAAAUGAACCAGAGAACAUUGACCUGACUUGAGUUUAACUCAUUUCCACUAUUACCUACCCAGAAAUUGUUUCAGAUUAAGAGACAACUCAUAAAUCACCUCCAGAACUCCAUGAAACAGUACCCCUUUUUAGUUUUAUCGUUUUUAUUUUCAGGAUAUUUAGCUCUUCCUCCUUUAAGCUUAAGUUUUUUUAUGCCUUUUAUAAGCUAAACAUCAGGGCAAUCUUCAGAUUUUAAUUUUUAUCUAUUAGUCCUUUUUAAAUUACCCUUUUGCUACUUAGUCCCUGCUUUUUGUGACUGGUUAACCAAGUUAUAGAAUGAGAAUUGAGAACCAAUACCUGCUAGAAACUUCUAGGAGUUUAUUAAGUAUUUCGAUAAAGAUUCCUCAACCUAAAAUUUCCAAACUACCCCCUCAAAUGAACCUGAAUUACUAGAUAUACCAAAUGGGUACGGUCAAGUUGACCCAAGGUCCAAAUUCUAGAGUUGGGCUUGCCAAACCUAUUGAAUCCCCUCCUCUGGUCUCUGCUUAAUUGAGUUCAAAUUCAAAUCAUGCAACCUAAAUUUAAUGGGUCCAGCAGGAUUUCCAAAGGACACUCAGAACCCAUUUUUUUAAUUGAAACCCCGGGAAACAAAAUAACAACAAAGAAACAAAGAAAUUAAAACAUGCACUAUUAACUUUAAUUGCAAGUACGCAAACAGAAACGAUUAUAAGAACAAAAAAACGGAUAAUACAAAAGAUAUGAAGCGAGAGGACGAAGGCAGGUGCCUUGAAUGAAACAAAAGGAAGAAAGAAAUGAUGGAAAAAGAUGGAAAGAUGAGCAUACAUAAGCAACAGUUUGAAUAAAUCUCGAAAAUGAACCUCGAGCCUCUGAAUUUAAUCCUGUGUUCUUAAAUGAAAACACAAGAAUAAAGCCCGUUUGCAACCUCAGAUCUUCAAUAUGAAAUGAUUGGAUUUUUUGGGAUUUUAGGGUUCGUCCCUUUGAAUCAAGAUUCGAUGGAAUCUAGGGUGAUUCGAAGGAAACAAAGUAGGGAUUCGGAAUGGGGAGAUGAAGGGGGGUCUGUGGUGUUGAGCUGAGAUCGAUUGGAGGCAGCGCUACUAGCAAUCAACGGUUGAGGACUAAGGUGGCGUCUCUAGGGUUCCAAGGAGACGCAGGGUUUGGCAGAUGAGUGAAGGGGUGGGGGUGCUCGGACACAUUAGUACAAAACGUUCCACACUUCUCC